UUUUUUUUUUUUUCUUUUUUGGCUGAACCGCAGCACAUGGAGUUCCCAGGCCAAGGAUCAGAUCCAAGCCACAGCUAUGACCUAAGCUACAGCUGUGGCAACACCAGACCCCUGACCCUCUGUGCGGGGCCAGGAAUCGAACCUGCAUCCCAGUGCCCCCAAGACACUGCUGAUCCCAUUGUGCCACAGCAGGAACUCCGAUUUGUAUUCUUUAAUAUCCUUUUAUGAAAUCUUGGUAAUUUACUAAGUAAACAGGUUCUCCUAAGUUUUGUAAGCCAUUCUAGCAAAUUAAUUGAGCCCAAGGAGGGGGACAUAGGAACCGCGGAUUUAUAACAGGGUGGUCAGAAGCACAGGUAACAACCUGCGCUUGUGUCUCAUGGGACUGAGCGCUUUACCUGUGGAAUGUGCUUCUAUCUCCAGGUAGAUAGUGUGAGAGUUGAGCUGAGUUCUCAGAAUUGUGCUGGCAUCCAGAAUUUCUUGGUGAUGUGGGGAAGCAUCCACACACACACUAGAAUUGGGUCGGGCAACAUUUCUGGGAUAUCUCAAACCAUACACCAAAAUAAACUCCAAGUGGCUCAAGAUUUACAUGUGAAAAAAUGAAAACCUAAGAGUAUGAGAAGAAAAUACAAGAGGAUUAAUUUAUAAUCUGGGGAAAAGCCUUUGUGAGCAUGACAUAAAACACAGAAGCUACAAAAGGCAAGCUAAGUAUGAACGGUAUGAAUACAUUUUUAAAAUUCUGCUCAGAAAAAAAAAUCGCCAAAAACAAACUCAAAAGUCAUGAAAAACAGGGAACAACUAUUUGCAUUCCAACAAAUAGAUAAGAAAGAGACCAAUAACCCAAUUGAAAAUGGGCAAAGGAUAUGAACAGACAGUUCCCAGGAAAGGAAUUCCAAAUCGCUUUUAAAUAUAUGAAAAUAUGCUCAACCUUCUCCGUAAUAAGGGAAAUGCAAAUUACAACUACCAGAUUGGCAGACAUAAAUUUUGCUAACACCAUGUGGCUAAAGGUUAGAGAAACAGAUGCUCUCACAUAUUGCUGGUGAGAGUACAAACCGGCUCAAUCCCUGGAGAGAACAAUUUGACAAUAUUUAUCAAAAUGCAUGUUUUGGCAGGCACCAUUAGUUUAUACCCCAAAAUCAUUCCUCCAUAUUCCUUGCUAACAGAGUCCAGGUGCUCAGGUGGCAGUGUGCCAAGCUCCAAGCAAUAAGUUUAUUUAUUAAUUCAUUCAUAUUUAUUAAGCUCUUGCUAUGUACGAGGCACUUGCUGUGUACUGGGCUCUGCGGAUACAAUACUGAAUGAAGCGGACCACACUCCAGGCUUCAUAAUAAUCCUGAACCUGAUUGAAAUUCCAGAGCAAAAUGGCAACUGUGGCAUUUUGAUGUACAUUUGAAAUAAUAGAUGACCAUAAGAUUUUUCCUUCAAACUAGGACUUGGGAGUGCAGGGUGGCAAGCACACCCACGGCAUGUGGAAGUUCCCGGGGUGGGGAUAAAAUUUAACAGCUGGAGCAAUGCCAGAUCCUUAACCCACUGAGCCAGUUGGGGGAAUUUUUCCAUACCUCUGCAGCAACCCAGGCCAAUGCAGUUGGAUCCUUAACCCACUAUGCCACAGUGGGAACUCCCAAAUUGAGACACUUUUGAGAGUGAAUAAAGUGCUAUUAAUAAAAUACACUGGGGGAGUUCCCAUCGUGGUUCAGCGGAAACAAAUCUGACUAGUAUCCAUGAGGACACAGAUUCAAUCCCUGGCCUCACUGAGUGGGUUAAGGAUCUGGCAUUGCUGUGAGCUGUGGUGCAAGCCAGUGGCUAUGGCUCGGAUCUGACCCCUAGCCUAGGAACCUCCCUGCAUAGGCUGUGGGCACAGCCAUAAAAAGCAAAAAUAAAGUAAAAUAUACUGGAACAAAGAGGCACAAACUAGGAUUGUCACAAGCAAACUAGGAAAUACGGUCGCUGCUGAUAAUCCUGUUGCCACCAUCUCAGUUUCUGUUCUAAAAUGACUCCACUAGGGAAUUAGGGAAAAAAGUGAGACCCAAAUGAGCUCUGGAGAAGUACGAAUGACAAAUACAUAUGAAAAGACACUCAACCUCUUUAAUUAGGAGGAAAAGCUGGAAUUAAGUCAGCAAUAGGACGCUUUGAAAGAACUUGAGGGAGUUCCCGUCGUGGCGCAGUGGUUAACGAAUCCGACUAGGAACCAUGAGGUUGCGGGUUCGAUCCCUGCCCUUGCUCAGUGGGUUAACGAUCCGGCGUUGCCGUGAGCUGUGGUGUAGGUUGCAGACGCGGCUCGGAUCCCGCGUUGCUGUGGCUCUGGCGUAGGCCGGUGGCUACAGCUCCGAUUAGACCCCUAGCCUGGGAACCUCCAUAUGCCUCAGGUGCAGCCCUAGAAAAGACAAAAAAACAUGUAUAUAUAUUUCUUAUGUAGAUUUAAUCCCCAGGCCCAACAGAGACUCUAAGAGGGUAGAAACAAAGCUUUGCUUUCCCAACAUCUAUUCAAGUAAAACUAUAAAGCCUGGGACCCCAUCAAUCCUUAAACAAUCCAAAAAUAUUCUUUGUCUACACUGGUUAGUAGGUUGGUUUUUUAGUGGGAAAUGUAAUUUUUAAAGACACAUAAUUUGGGAGUUCCUGCUGUGGCGCCAUGGGUUAAGAACCCACAAUGGCUGGGGUAGCUGUGGAGGUGUGGGUCCAACCCGCAGCCCCUGGUACAGUGGGUUGAAGGAGCUGGCAUUGCCUUAUAGGCCACAGCUGGGACUCAGAUUCAGUCCCUGGCCCAGGAACUUCCAUACUGCUGCAGGUGUGGCCAUUAAAAAAAAAAGUAGCUUGACGAAAAUACCAUAUGAAGAAAUAAAAACAAAAAGGUCUUUCUGUAACAGCUCACAUUAUACUGAUAAAGCUCAAAGUGGCAGAAAUCAUUAUCACAGCCAAGCUAAAGCCUAGGUACCCAGACCACUUUCAUCUAAUUUAUUUGAAACUAAUCCAAAAUAUUGACUUAUGUCUUAAUUUAGAACAAAAUUUGAUUUCCUUAGUUUCAGAACCCAGAAACCGGUGCCAAAUGCUUUGAAAAUUGACUUUAUUAUUGGCUUCAAAAAAAUAUUCAGAUACUGACUUUGUUUUUUUAAAAAUAAGUUUCCAGACCUAUGAUUUCAAAGACUAAACCUGCCAAACUUGUUGGCGUGAGAUUCCUUCCUCUACGAUUCCAGACAUUCUCUUGGCAGCAUCACCAUGUGGGAAAAGCACGGUGUAAAAAUGGCCGUUGUCUCUGUGGGUUACUGUCUGGCUAUACCUCACUCGGACACCAGAGGGCGCGCAAAGGAACAGCGCUUGUUUUUCUUUCAAUCCUGCAUCAAAGUCCGUGCACAAAAUAACAAAAGACUGGGAACACAAGAGCCGGGAGACAAAGGGACAAGGGAAAAAGGCUGCACGCCCUGUUUUACGGCCGGUGAAGUUUGCUUCCUCAUCCACCCACCUCCCCGCCUCAAGGAACUAGAUGUAAACAACUUAAGCUGCAAAAUAAUGAAAUCUUGAACUAACAAAGAAAAUCAAAGAAUAGUCACCCUAGUUCUAGGAAAGACUAUCACAGGUGUGCAUUUGACCUAUCUGCUCUGCUUGAUAUUAGCAACUUUUCCCAAAAAGUAUUCGUUUUUCUGAGUUCAUGAAUAAUACAUGCACAGAGUAGAAAAUAUAGAAAAGCAAAAGAUCAUCAAAUACUCUAACCCAGAGAUAAUUACUAUUAAUAUUUUCGCAUAUUUCUUUCCAGCCUUUUUUCAAUAUCUAGAAAUGCAUAGAAAAACAGUACUCUAUUAUUUUGUGCUGGCUCUUCGCAUUUACUAUAUCACUCUAUUAUUUUGUGCUGGCUCUCUUCCCAUCAACUCCAUCUUUGCCAAUAAAUUCCGGUAACGUAACUUUGCUAAUCACAUGAGUGAAUCAGAGGAGAAAAAGAAAUUUCAAAAGUGCUACAGAUAGCUUUUUCCCCAAGUUAAGAACUCGAAGGCCAAAUUCCGAGUCGCACAUUUGGAGGAGGAAUUUUUCUUUAGCGUUUAGAAAAGGAAGCAGGUAAAGAGCAAAGAAAGGAGAAACUAUUUCAUUCACACCCCAAAUAAGGCGCAUGAACCUGUCCUUCUUGGCUGCCUGAGGAUGACUCCAAGAGGCCAGGAGGGAAAGUAAAUCACUAAGACCGCUUGGUGCUGCCAGUGCGGCCAGCUCAUGCCUUAAGGUCAAAGAGAUCAAUCCGCACAGCUACUGAUGCUGGCGGGUCUGCAGGUGGCCAGCAAAACCAAGAAAAAAGUCAGGAACAGCAAGGUCAGUGACCUUGAGGCUUGGGGCUGGCACCAGCAGGUGGUUUCCUCAGAAAUCGGAAAGGAAGCUAGACCUGGCCCCUGGCAGACAGCCACAGGGAAAGUGAGGCCACGACCUGAGGCCCUGGAACACGGCCCCUCGCCCAGCCCGACGGGUAAUCGCUCUGUCCGCAGAGUUCUUUGUUUCAGUCGAGCAAAAAAGGGAAGCCUGGCGUUCUCUCUCAGCCCUGGGAAUUUAGGAAAGUCACUGAGCUCCCCAAGCCUCAGUCUCAUCUGUAUAAAUGAAAAGGUGGAAGAGAGCUAAGGUUCCUGCUAGCUCUCAAAGCCCGUGAGUUUUCACUGGACCCAACUGUGCACAGCAAUGAAAAGUAAAGACAUGCCCUGCCCACCACAACCCAUGAGCAGCAGCCCCUCUACUUGCUUUUCCCAGAUCCCCACAUACUCCUUCCCAAGCUCUGUGCCUUGGUGCUGCCCCCUUGCAGAAGUGCGGGAAAGCCUUGCCCCUCCUCUUUCCAAGUUCAUCACCCUUUCAAGGCCCAGCUGGGCUUUCUUCAAGCACUUCAGGCCGAGAAAGUUCUUCCUUCUCUGAAUUCCACAGGAUUUUGUGCAUACUUUCAUUGCUUUCUACCUGUGUGACCUUAGCCUGCCUGUGCCCCAGUUUCCUCAUCUGUAAAAGGGGGAGCAUUAUUCUAUCAAAUUCAAAGGAUUGUGAUGGGAUUAAUGGUUAACACAUGUAAACCACUUAAAGCAGAGCCUACACUUAGUAGGUUCUCCAUAAGCCUGGACUAUGCCUCCAUCAUGACACUUAAUAAAAUAACAUUUAAUCAAUUAUAUUAUAACUAUCAGAUAAAGGAUCCAUCUACCCCAUGAUCUCAAGAGGGGAAGUGAGGAGUUCCGGUUGUGGCUCAGGAGGUUAAGAACCGGACAGGGUUCAUGAGAGUGUGGGUUUGAUCCCUGGCCUUCCUCAGCGGGUUAAGGAUCUUGCCUUGCUGAAAGCUGUGGUGUGUGGGUCACAGAUGUGGCUGGGAUCUCAUGUGGCUGUGGCGUAGGCCAGCAGCCGCUCCAAUUCAACCCCUGGCCCAGGAACUUGCACAGGUGCAGCCUAAGAAGAAAAACAGGAGGGGAAGUGAGUUUUACCCAUAUUUUUCUCUCUAAUGCUUAGCUUCAGGCCUGGCAGAAAGAAUAAAUCAAUAAAGGUUUUUUGUUUGUUUGUUUGUGUUUUAAUAAGAAGGAAGAGAAGACUGGAAGCUUUUAUGUGUUUGUUUCCCUUUUUGCCACACACGCAGUAUGUGGGAAUUCCUGGGCCAGGGAUUGAACCUAUAACGCACAGCAGCAACCAGAACCACAGUGGUGAGAACACAGAAACUUCAAAUCGCUAGGCUAUCAGAGAACGCUCAAUGAAAGGUUGAUUGAACUAGAGGACACACUUUUGCCUCUUGGUUUUCACUUUGGAUUAUUGUUUAAAUAAAUUAGGCUAAGAAAUGGUGAAGUAUGAUUUUUUUUUCCCCUUAAUAAUCUAAACAUAUAUACAUCCAGGUCUAUCUUCCAGGCCCAAAUCAUAAAUACUCACUUGUGAAUUUUAAUGUUUAUAGAGGAUUAAUUCCCAUAUUUGCAUGGGAAAUUUUUAGUUUUAAUAAUGUUUCUGUGAGUGAAUGAUAAUAGAAUCCAAAAACUACAAUUUAGGCUCUUCUUUAAUUAUGGGGAGGAAGGAAAGGAAGAAGCAAAGUUGGGUAACAAGCGAGCUCAAGUUUUUGUUCAAAGGUUGGAUUGAGGAAGUGAGCAUAAUAGAGAAAAAGGAGAAGAUACACAAGAAACCAGGUCAUGCACGCUCUAAUAAAAACAAAAGUUACGUAAGAGAAUGAAAAGACGAGACACAGCCUGGAAGAACAUACAUCUCCCAAGAUAUAUAUUAUAUGUGUUGAUAUGUGUAUAUAUNNNNNNNNNNNNNNNNNNNNNNNNNNNNNNNNNNNNNNNNNNNNNNNNNNNNNNNNNNNNNNNNNNNNNNNNNNNNNNNNNNNNNNNNNNNNNNNNNNNNNNNNNNNUGUGGUACAUAUACAUAAUGGAAUAUUACUCAGCCAUAAAAAGGAAUGAAAUAAUGGUAUUAGCAGCAACAUGGAUGGACCUAAAAAUUAUCAUGCUUAGUGAAGACGCCAAGGUCACAUGCUAUCGCUUAUAUGUGAAAUCUUUAAAAAGAAUACAAUGAACUUUGAAGGACAGAUAUUGACUCACGGAUUUUGAAAAACAUGGGUUUUCAAAGGAGACAGGAUGGGGGUUGGGGGGAUGGUCUGGGGGUUUGGGAUGGAAAUGCUAUAAAACUGGCUUGUGAUGAUUGUUGUACAACUGUAAAUGUAAUAAAAUUCAUUGAGUUAAAAAAAAAAGAACUCUCAAACUCAAUAAUAAGAAAACAACACAAUAUUUAAAUGGGCAAAAGAUUCUGAUAUUAAAUAAAUCCAUGAAUAUGCUCAAUACCAUUAAUCAUUAGGGAAAGGCAUAUUAAAACUACAGUGAGGGAGUUCCCAC
RNAcentral lists this long non-coding RNA (6800 nucleotides) under Sus scrofa (pig). Its description in RNAcentral is "lncRNA (ENSSSCG00060040515.1)". Lineage: Eukaryota; Metazoa; Chordata; Mammalia; Artiodactyla; Suidae. The record is from RNAcentral.